This 400-nucleotide unclassified non-coding RNA is filed under the name fungal sp. RNAcentral describes it as "partial internal transcribed spacer region". The stretch from base 1 to 46 matches the Rfam family "Eukaryotic small subunit ribosomal RNA", at positions 1786 to 1831 of the family's 1831-position model. Lineage: Eukaryota; Fungi. The record is from RNAcentral.
AAGUCGUAACAAGGUCUCCGUAGGUGAACCUGCGGAGGGAUCAUUAACACGUUUCCAAAACGUUUAUCAACCAAAUCAACGUGAACUAGUACCAACUCCCUUGUCAGUGUGACGAACGAAUAAUCAUCAGGGUGGAGAUCGGCUUCGGCCGGACUAUGACUCGUUCUAGGGGCCCUUUGAGGCUCCAAUCCGCUGGCAAGUGUCUUUGCGACCACCUGGCAGUCUACAUUCGUGUAGCGUUCUGCCGAAUUUGUUUAACCCAAUUUUUUUAACCCCUUUCACAACAUACUAAUAACUGAACCAUUUUUCAUUGAGACGCCCUGGCUUCGGCCAUGCAACGGCUCAUGAAUACGAUAUACGUAAUGCUGAACAACUCUUAGCAAUGGAUAUCUUGGUUCUC